GGUCGAAUCGUAUAGCGGUUAGUACACACGCUUCACACUGCAUUUAAGAAGUGCGCGUGAGAUCCGGGUUCGAUUCCCGGUUCGACUA
Trichoderma asperelloides is the source of this 88-nucleotide non-coding RNA. The record is from the annotation of a GenBank genome assembly. Lineage: Eukaryota; Fungi; Ascomycota; Sordariomycetes; Hypocreales; Hypocreaceae.